GAUGAAGAACGUAGCGAAAUGCGAUAAGUAAUGUGAAUUGCAGAUUUCAGUGAAUCAUCGAAUCUUUGAACGCACCUUGCGCCUUGUGGUAUUCCACAAGGCAUGCCCGUUUGAGUAUCAUUAAAUCAUCAACUCUAAAACCUUUGUGGUUUUUUUUAGAGCUUGGUCUUGAGGGUUUUGCAGGCUUUUUUUUUUUCGAGUCUGCUCCCUUUAAAUGCAUUAGCGAGACUUCCCUAUGCUGAACCGUCUCUUUGACGUGAUAAUUAUCUGCGUCGAAUUUUGGUUCUCGUUGGGCUUGCUUCUAAUCGUCUGUUAAAGACAAAACGGAUUUGGGUGCAUAUAUGCGCCUUUUUCCAAAACCUUUUUUUGAUCUCAAAUCGGGUAGGACUACCCGCUGAACUUAAGCAUAUCAAUAAGCGGAGGA
This 424-nucleotide unclassified non-coding RNA is filed under the name soil metagenome. RNAcentral describes it as "partial contains 5.8S ribosomal RNA, internal transcribed spacer 2, and large subunit ribosomal RNA". The stretch from base 1 to 120 matches the Rfam family "5.8S ribosomal RNA", at positions 35 to 154 of the family's 154-position model. The record is from RNAcentral.